UAUUAUAUAAUAUAAUUUAAUAUAUUUUAUUUCCAAUAAAAAAAUUUAAGUAAAUUUAAUAUAAUAA
Molecule: transfer RNA, 67 nt
Filed under: Leptopilina boulardi
Lineage: Eukaryota; Metazoa; Arthropoda; Insecta; Hymenoptera; Figitidae
Description: tRNA-Gly
Source: RNAcentral